CGACCGCCGAAGCAGAGGGUGGUAGCGGGGGAGAGUAGGGGAGGGGGUGAGUAGGCUGUCACCGAUGUACGCGUGUGUUGGCCGCUGGUUGUAGUGCGUUUCCAGCGGUGGCGGCAGCGGCUUCCUGUCGCAAGGGGUUUACGAUCGGUGUUGGAGACGGAGCCGGAGGAGCUGGCGGUGAGCGAGAAGAACCGUCGUGGCACGACGGAAGGUAGGGUACGGCACAGGUGGUUGACGGGACGAGCGCGGCUGGAGUGGUUAGAGCGCCAGCGCGAACCGACACGAGCGGAACAGGAGCGGCCGUAGCGUCGGCGUCCGGUGCACCUGAUUUUGAGGCGGCGGUCGCUGUCGCCCAGGAAGGGCACGGAGAUGCUGGAGUACCGGUUCAGGAGGAGAGGGGUUUAGCUGUAGGUGGGGAAACAGCUCGGACGGUACGGUCAUUGUACUCGUCCUACCACAUGUGGCCGAGCCCUACUCCAGCUGCAACUAGUCAGCUUGUCAAACACCUCGACAUGGUCCAGUUCUGUACCGUCCUUUACUGUAACACUUCUUCAACCGUCGAAGUGCUGUGGUGACCUUGUGUCUAGUUCUUGAGUAUUCAUAGUUAC
This 608-nucleotide ribosomal RNA is filed under the name Triticum aestivum (bread wheat). Its description in RNAcentral is "partial small subunit ribosomal RNA". Lineage: Eukaryota; Viridiplantae; Streptophyta; Magnoliopsida; Poales; Poaceae. The record is from RNAcentral.